Non-coding RNA from Myotis lucifugus (little brown bat), 75 nucleotides. The record is from Rfam. NCBI's taxonomy places the organism in Eukaryota, Metazoa, Chordata, Mammalia, Chiroptera, Vespertilionidae.
GGUGGUUCUUGGGUGAUGCACCCCAGAUUUGGGCUUCCUCCUCUCUGGUCCCAGGUGUGUCACUCAAGAACUGCA